Non-coding RNA from Elaeis guineensis (African oil palm), 529 nucleotides. NCBI's taxonomy places the organism in Eukaryota, Viridiplantae, Streptophyta, Magnoliopsida, Arecales, Arecaceae. The record is from RefSeq and is a predicted model, not a curated record.
UCAACCCCAUAAGCUUCAUCAUACUUUUUUGCUGUGCUGCAGUAGUUACUUUCUGUUCUUAUAAGUAUUUUAAACUUUGGUGAUCUGUUUUAAUGAUGAAGGGUCGGGAACUAAUGUAGUGCUUUCAUUUUUCUACAGCCAGCAAAAUAGCUAGGAAUUCUUUUUCAUAGGUAGAAAGUGCUCUGUUCCUUUCACUUAGUCCUUUACUGAGGUAAGCUACAGGCCUUCCUUGUUGUGUGAAGAUUGCUCCAAUUCCAUAUCCACUGGCAUCUACCUCCAAAGUGAAAGUGAAUGAAGGAGUGGGUUGAGAAACUGAUGGCUGCAGCGAAAUUAGCUUCCGCAACUGCUCAUGCCUGCGAUUUUGUUCUUGCAUCAUAAUUUCAUGCCUCCUUGCAGCUUCAAUUUGUAAAGCUUCAUAUUUCUAUCUUUCCUCAAUCUGUAUUUCAUCUAACUGUCUUGCAAACACACCCAACUUUGUAUUGUAUUCCUCAGAUACUUGUUGUAAUUUGUUUUCAAUAUGGUUGUGGCA